This 343-nucleotide long non-coding RNA is filed under the name Cricetulus griseus (Chinese hamster). Its description in RNAcentral is "lncRNA (ENSCGRG00015029278.1)". The record is from RNAcentral. Lineage: Eukaryota; Metazoa; Chordata; Mammalia; Rodentia; Cricetidae.
GAAAUGCUCAGGGCUCCACACUGAGCAUGGCCAGUGCUGAGCAAGUGAGUGAAGCCCCUCUCAGUAGCCAGUGCAUGGAUUGUACAGUGGAGAAGGUUUUAAAAAACCACCAAAAACUGAUGGAUUCUUACAUCUGGGGAAGACUUUAGAGCAAUCACCGGAACAGCCAGAGGAUGAACAGCAGCAAAGAGCUUGGCUUGUCAGGCUAGGACAACAGUAUAUCCAAAUACUGCCAAAUGCCUGGGAGCAACUGAAGAAAUCAGAACUGAAUCUCCUGAUGCAAAUACCAAUGGAGGGAGAAGACCAGAGUGACACCAGGAAGGGGACCCAGGGCGAGUUGUGG